RNAcentral lists this small nuclear RNA (20 nucleotides) under Arabidopsis thaliana (thale cress). Its description in RNAcentral is "snRNA_07137". Lineage: Eukaryota; Viridiplantae; Streptophyta; Magnoliopsida; Brassicales; Brassicaceae. The record is from RNAcentral.
UUUAUCAGUUUCACUUCUUU